UACGAAGGGGGCUAGCGUUGCUCGGAAUUACUAGGCGUAAAGCGCACGUAGGCGGCUCUUUAAGUCGGAGGUGAAAUCCUGGAGCUCAACUCCAGAACUGCCUUCGAUACUGAAGAGCUCGAGUCCGGGAGAGGUGAGUGGAACUGCGAGUGUAGAGGUGAAAUUCGUAGAUAUUCGCAAGAACACCAGUGGCGAAGGCGGCUCACUGGCCCGGUACUGACGCUGAGGUGCGAAAGCGUGGGGAGCAAACAGG
RNAcentral lists this ribosomal RNA (253 nucleotides) under uncultured bacterium. RNAcentral's name for it is "partial 16S ribosomal RNA". It matches the Rfam family "Bacterial small subunit ribosomal RNA", at positions 524 to 776 of the family's 1533-position model. The record is from RNAcentral.